ACCCCACUAUGCCUAACCAUAAAUAGACCUUUACCACCCCUUACUUUGUUUAAGUCCGCCUGAGUACUACAAGCGCUAGCUUAAAACCCAAAGGACUUGGCGGUGCCCCAGACCCCCCUAGAGGAGCCUGUUCUAUAACCGAUAAUCCCCGUUAAACCUUACCAUUUCUUGCUUUUACCGCCUAUAUACCGCCGUCGUCAGCUCACCCCAUGAGGGCACAGAAGUAAGCAUAAAGGACUUCCUCCAAAACGUCAGGUCGAGGUGUAGCGAAUGAAGUGGAAAGAAAUGGGCUACAUUUUCUCUAAAGAAAAUACGGACAGUAAAAUGAAAAAUCACUUAUAAGGUGGAUUUAGCAGUAAGAAGAACUUAGGAUAUUUUUCUGAAGUCGGCUCUGA
This 395-nucleotide ribosomal RNA is filed under the name Caliraja stellulata (starry skate). Its description in RNAcentral is "partial 12S ribosomal RNA". It matches the Rfam family "Bacterial small subunit ribosomal RNA", at positions 784 to 1377 of the family's 1533-position model. The record is from RNAcentral. Lineage: Eukaryota; Metazoa; Chordata; Chondrichthyes; Rajiformes; Rajidae.